UUAAAGUUGUGCAGUUAAAAGCUCGUAGUGAAACUUGGGUGUGUAGGGGCGGUCUCUUUUAGAGUACUACCCUGAAACAUCUUUCUUUGGUGUAAACUCUUUAUUCACUUAAGGAGUGUAAACCAAACAUUUACUUUGAAAAAAUUAGAGUGUUCAAAGCAGGCCUUUGCUCGAAUAUAUUAGCAUGGAAUAAUAGAAUAGGACGUAUGGUUCUAUUUUGUUGGUUUCUAGGACCGUCGUAAUGAUUAAUAGGGACGGUCGGGGGCAUCAGUAUUCAGUUGUCAGAGGUGAAAUUCUUGGAUUUACUGAAGACUAACUACUGCGAAAGCAUUUGCCAAGGACGUUUUCAUUAAUCAAGAACGAAAGUUAGGGGAUCGAAGACGAUCAGAUACCGUCGUAGUCUUAACCGUAAACUAUGCCGACUAGGGAUCGGAGGGCGUUAUAAUAACCUCUCCGGCACCUUACGAGAAAUCAAAGUUUUUGGGUUCUGGGGGGAGUAUGGUUGCAAGGCUGAAACUUAAAGGAAUUGACGGAAGGGCACCACCAGGAGUGGAGCCUGCGGCUUAAUUUGACUCAACACGGGGAAACUCACCAGGUCCAGACACAAUAAGGAUUGACAGAUUGAGAGCUCUUUCAUGAUUUUGUGGGUGGUGGUGCAUGGCCGUUCUUAGUUGGUGGAGUGAUUUGUCUGCUUAAUUGCGAUAACGAACGAGACCUUAACCUGCUAAAUAGCUGUAACAAUAGAUUAUUGUUUUGACAGCUUCUUAGAGGGACUAUCGAUUUUCAAGUCGAUGGAAGUUUGAGGCAAUAACAGGUCUGUGAUGCCCUUAGACGUUCUGGGCCGCACGCGCGCUACACUGACGGAGCCAGCGAGUCUAACCUGUGCCGAGAGGUAUGGGUAAUCUUGUGAAACUCCGUCGUGCUGGGGAUAGAGCAUUGCAAUUAUUGCUCUUCAACGAGGAAUUCCUAGUAAGCGCAAGUCAUCAGCUUGCGUUGAUUACGUCCCUGCCCUUUGUACACACCGCCCGUCGCUACUACCGAUUGAAUGGCUUAGUGAGGCUUCCGGAUUGAUUAACUGGAGAGGGCAACUUUUCUGGUUGAACGAGAAGCUAGUCAAACU
This 1120-nucleotide ribosomal RNA is filed under the name Geotrichum silvicola. RNAcentral describes it as "SSU rRNA". It matches the Rfam family "Eukaryotic small subunit ribosomal RNA", at positions 604 to 1765 of the family's 1831-position model. Lineage: Eukaryota; Fungi; Ascomycota; Dipodascomycetes; Dipodascales; Dipodascaceae. The record is from RNAcentral.